GAGGAACCGAGGAGGCCAGCAGAGUUAGCUGUUUCAAAGUCAGCUAGAGGUUUGCAGGUUUAGGAUAGACCGGGAAGUCGUCAAGGUUGAAGGUUGUAUUAAGUGUAAUAGAUUAGUAGUGGACAUGUAAAGUAAAAUGGUACAAUGUAACGUAAUGUAGAGAAAUGUUUCACGGUUUAGUAUUGUACUUUGCCCUAAUAGUAGUGGUAAUUCCUUUUUGUACA
This is a long non-coding RNA of Manihot esculenta (cassava), 224 nucleotides long. RefSeq lists it as uncharacterized. NCBI's taxonomy places the organism in Eukaryota, Viridiplantae, Streptophyta, Magnoliopsida, Malpighiales, Euphorbiaceae. The transcript has 2 exons. The record is from RefSeq and is a predicted model, not a curated record.